AAAACAAGCUCAGGGCUCCCACUGAUUGUACAUUAUGAGACGGAGUCUUGCUAUGUUGCCCAGGCUGGUCUUGAACUCCUCACCUCAAGCGAUCCUCCCGUCUUGGCCUCCCAAGUGUCAGGAUUACGGGCAUGUGCUAUCACACCCAACCUGAUACAUUGCCUUUAUAAAUUUUUUUUUCUUUAUUCUAAAAACCAGAAAAAACAAAACUGGAUACAUGUGCAGAACAUGCAGGUUUGUUACAUAGCUGUACGUGUGCCAUGGUGGUUUGCUGCACCUAUUGACCUAUCCUCAGGGAAUUUCUUCCACUUGCAGACCAAGUGUGUUGGGGACUUGAGAUGCGUACAUGAGUGUGAUGUUUCCUGCUGAAAGCACAGGUGAGACGUGGUCUUGUAACACAGUGGUUAAGAAUGUGACUUUGGAGCCAGCCUGCUAGGGGCUGAAUUCUGACUCAGCCAUUUACUAACUGUGUGACCUUAGUCUCACUGUUGCUCAGGCUGGAGUGCAAUGGCAUGAUCUCGGCUCAUCACAACCUCUGCUUCCUGGGUUCAAGCGAUUCUCCUGCCUCAGCCUCCCGAGUACCUGGGACUACAGGCACUCGCCACCAUG
RNAcentral lists this long non-coding RNA (609 nucleotides) under Homo sapiens (human). RNAcentral's name for it is "PCBP1 antisense RNA 1". Lineage: Eukaryota; Metazoa; Chordata; Mammalia; Primates; Hominidae. The record is from RNAcentral.